Long non-coding RNA from Crotalus tigris (Tiger rattlesnake), 1330 nucleotides. RefSeq lists it as uncharacterized. NCBI's taxonomy places the organism in Eukaryota, Metazoa, Chordata, Lepidosauria, Squamata, Viperidae. The transcript has 2 exons. The record is from RefSeq and is a predicted model, not a curated record.
AAUAUUUUUCAUUAUUUGGAGCAUCAAAUGUCUUUUGGUAGAAAUAAUUUUCCUGACUACAAUUUUUGUGGCUUUCUUGCAUAGUUUCAUUGUAUGCUAAAGUGAGAAAGUAGAAGAAAAAUAAACAUUUUCUAUUGCAGUUAUUAUAUGCAACAGUGGCCUAAUUACGUUUUGCCAGAUGGGAAAGGUAAGUCAGAUUGGAAACAGCUGCCAAGUAUUUCUUGGGUCCCAACUAAAUCGGAGUGGCCAGGGUCAUGUGUAAUGCUGAGCAAGCCAUAAUAAUCUGGUUUGUACAGUACUAAGCCAUAAUCAUUUGUCUCUCAUAUCACUCCUAGCCAAAAUGAAAUGUCUCAAAUAAGUUCAAAGCCAUUGUAUAUUGGAGAGGUGAACUCUGUCUUAUGAUAAGCAUCUUCCUUGCAGUAAAUUUGAUGUGAUAAGACACUUUUGGGAAGCAAAGUCUUGAAAAUGCUGGUUAACAGCUUUCCAAACUCUGUGCUCUCAAGGAUGUCCUGCCUAGCAUGGUAAUCAUAAUUAUAAUAUUUCAAGAUAGAAUGUUAACACUGAUAUACAUUUAUUUGUUUAUUAUUGUUGAAUUGUAUAUUUUUAUUCUACUGGUAGCUUUGUAUUUUGUGAACUAUUGUGAAAUUUUUGGAAUAUUUAUGAGUUCGACACAAAUACAAAACUUUAGAGUAAUCCAUCUGUUUAGGACAAAUAAGGAAGGAAGUAUGAAUUUUUCAAUGGUACUUAGAACCAACUGUAAAAAAAAUAGUGUUUUUCCUCCACCAUGCACUUUGGUAAAGAAAUCUGCGUAGGCAGAAAUCAAUAUUUAAAAUUGUAUGAGCACUCAUGCUCAUAUGAUUCAUGUUUUCCUCUGGAAAUGACAUAGAACAAUGUAUAUAGAACUUGUACUAAAGUUACAACGCAGAGUUGACAUUGACAUUUCAAUUACAGAUAAUAUACGAUCAUAUAUUUUAGUAAAAUGCAAGCGGAACAUUGAAAUUGUUUACCCUUUUUGUAGUCAGUUUUCUCUAUUAAAUUGCCUUAUAUUGUCCUGUUCCUGUUUUUUUUUUAGUAAGAAUCUUUGAUAAAGGUUUUUGCAUCAAAUACUUUGUUAAUUGGAACUCAAUCUAUCCUGUAUUUUAUUUUCAAGUUUGUUUUCCUUUUCUUUGUAACCUUCAAUUUUUCAAUAGAACGUCUACCGUUUCCUACAUUAUUUGCAUAUCACUGUUCCGCCUUUACCUGAAAGAAAUUUCUGAAGUGUUAGAACAUAACCAUCCCAGGAAGACUGCUGAGAAAUGUUAUAAUAAAUUUCCAAUCCUUUUUCUCCAUA